This 544-nucleotide ribosomal RNA is filed under the name Stygobromus sp. 1 AGC-2019. RNAcentral's name for it is "SSU rRNA". It matches the Rfam family "Eukaryotic small subunit ribosomal RNA", at positions 47 to 519 of the family's 1831-position model. Lineage: Eukaryota; Metazoa; Arthropoda; Malacostraca; Amphipoda; Crangonyctidae. The record is from RNAcentral.
AGCCAUGCAUGUCUAAGUACGAGCCGUGUUUACAUGGCGAGACCGCGGACGGCUCAUUAAAUCAGUCGUGGUCCAAAUGGGCCAGUGCUUAUCUUACUUGGAUAACUGUGGUAAUUCCAGAGCUAAUACAUGCAACUCAUACCCCGACGGCCUCGCUCUUGUAGGGAGUGUCCUGACGGGUGCUUUUAUUAGACCAAACCGCUGAGGGCGUGUGCGUCUUUCGGGCCGUCACGUCUGACUCGUUUAAUGGUGACUCUGGAUAACCUUCUUUGACAAGCGCACGUACCCCUCUUUUGAGUGGGACGGCGCUGCCACUUUCGAGUGUCUGCCUUAUCAGCUAUCAACCGUUCGUUACGUGCGACCGAUGGCUUUGACGGGUAACGGGGAAUCAGGGUUCGAUUCCGGAGAGGCAGCCUGAGAGACGGCUACCACGUCCAAGGACGGCAGCAGGCGCGCAAAUUACCCAAUCCCAGCAACUGGGGGAGGUAGUGACGAAAUCUAACGAUGCGGGCGCCCUUUCUAGGGCCCCGCAAUCGGAAUGAGC